GACGAACGCUGGCGGCGUGCUUAACACAUGCAAGUCGAACGGAAAGGCCCUGCUUUUGUGGGGUGCUCGAGUGGCGAACGGGUGAGUAACACGUGAGUAACCUGCCCUUGACUUUGGGAUAACUUCAGGAAACUGGGGCUAAUACCGGAUAGGAGCUCCUGCUGCAUGGUGGGGGUUGGAAAGUUUCGGCGGUUGGGGAUGGACUCGCGGCUUAUCAGCUUGUUGGUGGGGUAGUGGCUUACCAAGGCUUUGACGGGUAGCCGGCCUGAGAGGGUGACCGGCCACAUUGGGACUGAGAUACGGCCCAGACUCCUACGGGAGGCAGCAGUGGGGAAUAUUGCACAAUGGGCGGAAGCCUGAUGCAGCAACGCCGCGUGCGGGAUGACGGCCUUCGGGUUGUAAACCGCUUUCGCCUGUGACGAAGCGUGGGUGACGGUAAUGGGUAAAGAAGCACCGGCUAACUACGUG
This 468-nucleotide ribosomal RNA is filed under the name uncultured bacterium. RNAcentral's name for it is "partial 16S ribosomal RNA". It matches the Rfam family "Bacterial small subunit ribosomal RNA", at positions 28 to 507 of the family's 1533-position model. The record is from RNAcentral.